UGGGUAGUCUGGAUCAACUGAAGUACGUUUCCAGGAUAAACGCCUGACAUCCGUCCUCUCUCUGUGUUU
Molecule: long non-coding RNA, 69 nt
Organism: Sander lucioperca (pikeperch)
Lineage: Eukaryota; Metazoa; Chordata; Actinopteri; Perciformes; Percidae
Exons: 3
Source: RefSeq, a predicted model, not a curated record